This 1430-nucleotide ribosomal RNA is filed under the name uncultured organism. RNAcentral describes it as "bacterial SSU rRNA". It matches the Rfam family "Bacterial small subunit ribosomal RNA". The record is from RNAcentral.
GCGUGGAUUAGGCAUGCAAGUCGAGCGGGAAGCUAUUGUUUCGAUCUUCACGGAGAGAAACGAUGGUGGAGAGCGGCGAAAGGGUGAGUAUCGCGUGGGUAAUCUAGCCUUGAGUUCGGAAUAAUUCCGCGAAAGCGGGACUAAUACCGGAUGUGGUCCUCCGUCGCAUGGCGGGGAGAUUAAAGGUGGGGCUUCCUUAUUGGAACCUGCCGCUCGAGGAUGGGCCCGCGUACCAUCAGUUUGUUGGUAGGGUAACGGCCUACCAAGGCUACGACGGUUAGCUGGUCUGAGAGGAUGGUCAGCCACACUGGGACUGAGACACUGCCCAGACUCCUACGGGAGGCUGCAGUCGAGAAUCAUUCGCAAUGCGCGAAAGCGUGACGAUGCGACGCUGCGUGGAGGAUGACGGCCUUAGGGUUGUAAACUCCUGUCAUGAGGGAAAAGUCGGCGAUUGGUUAAUAGCCUUUUGCUUCGAUGGUACCUCAAGAGGAAGCCACGGCUAACUCUGUGCCAGCAGCCGCGGUAACACAGAGGUGGCGAGCGUUGUUCGGAUUUACUGGGCGUAAAGCGUGCGUAGGCGGCUUCGUAUGUCGGAUGUGAAAGCCCAUGGCUCAACCAUGGAAUUGUGUCCGAAACUGCGAUGCUAGAGUGCAGGAUGGGAGAGCGGAAUUCUUGGUGUAGCGGUGAAAUGCGUUGAUAUCAAGAAGAACACCGGUGGCGAAGGCGGCUCUCUGGAAUGCAACUGACGCUUAGGCACGAAAGCUGGGGGAGCGAACAGGAUUAGAUACCCUGGUAGUCCCCAGCCGUAAACGUUGUGCACUUGGUGUGGGGAGUAUUGACCCUCUCCGUGCCGUAGCUAACGUGUUAAGUGCACCGCCUGGGGAGUACGGCCGCAAGGCUAAUACUCAAAGAAAUUGACGGGGGCCCGCACAAGCGGAGGAGCAUGUGGCUCAAUUCGAUGCAACGCGAAGAACCUUACCAGGGCUUGACAUGCAGCUGCUUUCCCCCUGAAAGGGGGGAGUCCUUCGAGGGUGCUGCACAGGUGCUGCAUGGCUGUCGUCAGUUCGUGCCGUGAGGUGUUGGGUUAAGUCCCGCAACGAACGCAACCCUUGUGUUUAGUUGCUAUUUCCGCGUAAGCGGGAAGCACUCUAGACAGACUGCCCGUACAAGCGGGAGGAAGGUGGGGAUGACGUCAAGUCAGUAUGGCCCUUACGCCCUGGGCUGCACACGUGCUACAAUGGCCGGUACAGUGGGAAGCAAUGCCGCGAGGUGGAGCAAAUCCCCAAAGCCGGCCCCAGUUCGGAUUGGAGUCUGCAAUUCGACUCCAUGAAGUUGGAUUCGCUAGUAACGGCGCAUCAGCUACGGCGCCGUGAAUACGUUCCCGGGCCUUGUACACACCGCCCGUCACAUCAUGAAAGCCGUUUGCACCC